This 322-nucleotide unclassified non-coding RNA is filed under the name Hevea brasiliensis (rubber tree). Lineage: Eukaryota; Viridiplantae; Streptophyta; Magnoliopsida; Malpighiales; Euphorbiaceae. The record is from RNAcentral.
AGUUAAAACAAUAAAUUUUGUUUAUUUGUUUCCUAACAUACCCUCCACUCAUAUUGCCCCAUUAAAAUUUAAAUAACUCAUGUUACUAAAUUUUUCCUAGAACUAAUGAAUUUUUUUUCCAAUACAUAUAAAAUGGGGGCGUAUUAGUAAUCUACUAAAUAUACUACUAUUUCAAAAUAGAAAAUGGCCUAGAAUUUGGGACAGAUGAAAAGGAAAAGUGAGCCUAUUUUUAUGGGACAUAGUAAGUAUUUACAUAAAAAACUAUCAUUUAGACAUUUUAAUAAAAAAAAAACAAAUGAUAUACAAAGAUAUCAUUAGUUUU